This 832-nucleotide long non-coding RNA is filed under the name Hordeum vulgare. Its description in RNAcentral is "long non-coding RNA (HVUL_LNC008410)". Lineage: Eukaryota; Viridiplantae; Streptophyta; Magnoliopsida; Poales; Poaceae. The record is from RNAcentral.
GGAAUAAAUCACAUAGUAUUUCCCACAACAAAAGAGAAAACAAUCUAAACCGCGCCUUACUCAGGAGAUGAAGUCGAAAACCUUCUAGCUCUAAACCCUAAACCCUAAACCCUGUAGAAUUUAGAUCCAAGCGAUACACUGCGGUUUUCACUGAAGAACAAUCCACCCAGUCAACUACGAUUGUAUGAUACAAGUACUACCCGAUUCACGCUCGCAAAGCACAUAUAAGUACACACGAUGACGGUGCAGUAAGUAAUAAGUAAUUAAUCUACUGAACUGGGCGUGCUUGCUGGUCCUUGUUGAUGAUGGAUCCGUGGUGCAAGCAGCUCCUGCAGCUCCUUGACCUCCUGCCGGAGGCUCCUGAUAUCCUCCUGGCGGGCCUCGUCGGCGGCGCGGAGCCUCUCGCCAACCUCCCCACCUACGGUGUGGCAGACCCUCUUGCAGUCGGCGAUGAUCUUCUCGCGGAGCAGCAGAUAGCCGCCCAUCCAGAGCACCCAGGUUCCCUGCACCCAUCAACGCACGCACGCAUCCAUGUAUGUUAGCCUCCUUAUAUACAGUAGGGAUCGAUGGAUCGGUUUUGUACGUAUAAGCGAACCUACCUCCAUGGUCUCGGCGGACGUACGGGAGCUAGCUUGUUAGGGCUUGCGAAGCUUGGAUCAAUGGAGAGAUGGUUGAAUUGACGUACGUACCUACGUGUUGGGGGCUUGGAAUUACGGACGGUGCGAUUCAGGCAUCCAAAGUCGUGACCGAUUGAACAUAUAUAUGGUGCGUGCAUCGUCGAUCGAUUUUCACCGGCUGUCUUGGAGAAGAAGACUGACUUGGAGAAGAAGAC